CUACAAUGGCGUAAACAAAGGGAAGCGAGACGGUGACGUUAAGCAAAUCCCAAAAAUAACGUCCCAGUUCGGAUUGUAGUCUGCAACUCGACUACAUGAAGCUGGAAUCGCUAGUAAUCGCGAAUCAGAAUGUCGCGGUGAAUACGUUCCCGGGUCUUGUACACACCGCCCGUCACACCAUGGGAGUCGGAAAUGCCCGAAGUCAGUGACCUAACCGAAAGGGAGGAGCUGCCGAAGGUGGAGCCGGUAACUGGGGUGAAGUCGUAACAAGGUAGC
Molecule: ribosomal RNA, 276 nt
Filed under: uncultured bacterium
Lineage: Bacteria
Description: partial 16S ribosomal RNA
Rfam family: Bacterial small subunit ribosomal RNA
Source: RNAcentral